GCUGGGGAUAGCUGAGUUGGUAAAGUGCUUGCCUCACAUGCACAAGGCCCUGGGUCCAAUCCCCAGCACAACA
This 73-nucleotide transfer RNA is filed under the name Marmota monax (woodchuck). Its description in RNAcentral is "tRNA.Val". Lineage: Eukaryota; Metazoa; Chordata; Mammalia; Rodentia; Sciuridae. The record is from RNAcentral.